UAGGGAAUCUUCGGCAAUGGGGGGAACCCUGACCGAGCAACGCCGCGUGAGUGAAGAAGGUUUUCGGAUCGUAAAGCUCUGUUGUUAAGGAAGAACGAGUGUGAGAAUGGAAAGUUCAUACUGUGACGGUACUUAACCAGAAAGGGACGGCUAACUACGUGCCAGCAGCCGCGGUAAUACGUAGGUCCCGAGCGUUGUCCGGAUUUAUUGGGCGUAAAGCGAGCGCAGGCGGGUAGAUAAGUCUGAAGUUAAAGGCAGUGGCUCAACCAUUGUAGGCUUUGGAAACUGUUUAACUUGAGUGCAGAAGGGGAGAGUGGAAUUCCAUGUGUAGCGGUGAAAUGCGUAGAUAUAUGGAGGAACACCGGUGGCGAAAGCGGCUCUCUGGUCUGUAACUGACGCUGAGGCUCGAAAGCGUGGGGAGCGAACAGG
This 429-nucleotide ribosomal RNA is filed under the name Bacteroidota bacterium. RNAcentral's name for it is "Bacteroidetes bacterium partial 16S ribosomal RNA". It matches the Rfam family "Bacterial small subunit ribosomal RNA", at positions 355 to 776 of the family's 1533-position model. Lineage: Bacteria; Pseudomonadati; Bacteroidota. The record is from RNAcentral.